GCAAGCGGGGCUGGGAAAACUGGACAGCGGCAUGCAGAAAAAUGAACCUGGACCACUUUCUUACACCAUACACAAAAAUAAACUCAAAAUGGAUGAAAGACCUAAAUGUAAGACAGGAAGCCAUCAAAAUCCUCAAGGAGAAAGCAGGCAAAAACCUCUUUGCCCUUGGCCGCAGCAACUUCUUACUCAACAUGUCUCCGGAGGCAAGGGAAACAAAAGCAAAAAUGAACUAUUGGGACCUACCUCAUCAAAAUAAAAAGCUUCUGCACAGCAAAGGAAACAAUCAGCAAAGCUAAAAGGCAACCGACAGAAUGGGAGAAGAUAUUUGCAAAUGACAUAUGAGAUAAAGGAUUAGUAUCCAAAAUCUAUAAAGAACUUAUCAAACUCAACAUCCAAAAAACAAAUAAUCCAGUGAAUAGAUGGGCAAAAGACGUGAAUAGACACUUCUCCAAAGAAGACAUCCAGAUGGCCAACCGACACAUGAAAAAACGCUCAACAUCACUCAUCAGGGAAACAAAUACAAAUCAAAACCACAAUGAGAUACCACCUCACACCUGUCAGAAUGGCUAACAUUAACAACUCAGGUAACAACAGAUGUUGGCAAGGAUGUGGAGAGAGAGGAUCUCUUUUGCACUGCUGGUGGGAAUGCAAGCUGGUGCCGCCACUCUGGAAAACAGUAUGGUGGGUGCCUGAGUGGCUCAGUUGGUUAAAUGGAAAACAGUAUGGAGAUUCCUCAAAAAAUUAAAAAUAGAACUACCCUAUGACCCAGCAAUUGCACUACUAGGUAUUUAUCCAAGGGAUACAGGUGUGCUGUUUCAAAGGGACACAUGCACCCCAAUGUUUAUAGCAGCACUAUCAACAAACAAAAGUAUGGAAACAGCCCAAAUGUCCAUCGAUGGAUAAAUGGAUAAAGAAGAUGUGGUGUAUAAAUAUAUAUAUAUAUACAAUGAAGUAUUA
Molecule: long non-coding RNA, 957 nt
Organism: Panthera uncia (snow leopard)
Lineage: Eukaryota; Metazoa; Chordata; Mammalia; Carnivora; Felidae
Exons: 2
Source: RefSeq, a predicted model, not a curated record